This is an RNA transcript of Capsella rubella, 2075 nucleotides long. It is a transcript of the gene named transcription initiation factor TFIID subunit 8, with no coding region annotated. The record is from RefSeq and is a predicted model, not a curated record. NCBI's taxonomy places the organism in Eukaryota, Viridiplantae, Streptophyta, Magnoliopsida, Brassicales, Brassicaceae. The transcript is spliced from 4 exons.
AAUAUCUCUCUCUGGAUCGAGGGGUUUAAGCUGGGUUUUUUUUUUUUGUUGCCCUAGAAUUUGGCGCCUUUCUACUUCGAUUUGCGUUUCUUGGUACCUCCGUAAGCCAUAAAUUUUUUUCUCUCCCAAUUUUACUCUAUUCGUUAGGCUUUCCCAUUGAGUUCCUUCGCUAGUGUUUGCCGGAGUUUGUCUGGUCCUUCCUCAUAGUUGAUUCUGCUGCUCCGGGGGGUUUUUACAUUGGGGAAGUCUUCUUCUCCGGUACCGAGGUGAGAACUCCGUAUGGAAUCAGCUAACCAGUUUUGGUCUUAAAGGAAUGCGCAUUUCGUUGAGUUGAUUCAAGAAAUGGUUCUACAUGUUACGCUGUGUAAAGUUGUAAUAAAGGUUGAAUAUGACCAAUGGAGGAGGGGAGGGUGGAAGUCAGCGGAGAGAAUUACACGGGAAAAGAAGUGUUUUUCGUGGCAAUGAUUUUGCAUAUGCUCUCGCUAGAAUGGCCGUGGCGCAGAUAUGUGAGAGCGUUGAGAUGAAUAGUUAUCAGGAAUCACAGACGCGCGAAGGUGUGAGAUUCAGUUCUUUUCAAGAGACUGCUCUUGAAACAUUAACUGAUGUAGUGAUCCAGUACAUCCAGAACGUUGGCAAGACUGCACAGUUCUAUGCUAAUAUGGCUGGUAGAGUAGAAGGUAAUGCUCUUGACAUUGUUCAAGCACUAGAGGAUCUGGGAUCUGGACUGGGUUUCGACGGUGCUCAUGAUGUUGAGCAUUGUCUCGCUGAUUCUGGUGUAGUCAAGGAUAUUAUUCGUUAUACUGGAGAAGCGGAGGAAAUGCCUUUCGUUUAUUCCCUUCCCCCUUUCCCUUUUAAUAGAGGAAAAAGACCAGCUCCUAGCUUUUUCGAGAUCGGAGCAGAGCCACCAGAUGAGCAUAUUCCGGUUUGGCUUCCGGCAUUUCCUGAAACCAAGAUGUCUAACGGGUCAGAAGAGACUAAUGUUGACAAAAUAGAAGGGGAUGUGGGAAGUAGAGAAAAUGGACCCUCUUUGACGAGUAUGCAGCAGUCUGUUGACGUUGAUAGGGUAAAGAUUCUGAAAUCCAUGGAUCAAAAGGAAGUUCAGAAACCAACAGAGGAACCCGAAGGUAACCCAUUUCUUGCUGCACCACUUUGGGCUGGAGAGAAGAACGUGGCACGUGUGUUUUUCCCGUCAGAGCUUAGAAAGGAAGAAAUUAGCAUUAACCAUGUCCCUGAGAAAAGUAUGAGCAAGAGCUAUCACAUUCCAGCACUUGAAGCAUAUCCUCCAUCUGAUAAAAUCAACGAGAAGAACAGAUUAGCUGAAACCCAAGAUGGAGACGAAAGAAACGGUACAAGAACACAACGAGGUUUGCUUCGUUUCAAGAUUGAGACUCGAAAAGCCUCUCUGUGUUGGAAAAGAAAUCAGUGCUUAGAUGAAAAGGGUUGGUUUCAGGAGGAUGGAGACAGGAGGGAGAAGAAGGUAGAGCGGGAAGAAAAGCCAGAAAGUGUUGACACAGAUGUAAAAUAGGUUUUAAUGGAGAGGACAUUGCAAGCAAAGACUAAAGAGAGAAGAGAGAGAGAGAAAGAGAAUGUUACCUGAAGGCAGAGACUUGAGCUCAUCUCCGGUGACGGCAACACGUCUCGGUGGAUAAUGUUGGCGAGGAAGUAGAAGACGGAGAAGAAGAAGAAGAGACAGGAGGAGGACAAAGAAGAACCCAGCAUUAAGACAAAGGUAAAGCUACUUGUGAAGUUAUGACCAGACAAGGAAUUAGGUUUCUCUGUAUCUGUUAUCUUGGAGGGUUCCUUGAAGAAGAAAGAAGAGAAGAAGAAAAAGAAAAGAAAAGAAAGAUAAAAAAGAAGUUUGUUUGUGGUCUUUGAGAGAAGUGAGUCCUGUAAAAAGGCAAAGAGCUCUCUGUCUACAAUUAUAUGUAGAAGCUUUUCAAAAGCAUAUAUAAACAUCGGUUAUGUAAUAAUGCUCAAUGUACGUAGGCACACACAUACACAUGCGUGUACACAUGUAUUCGUGUGUAUCCGUAUAGAUUUAUACAUGUAAGAGAAUGUAAAUGAUUUUAUUUUAA